RNAcentral lists this ribosomal RNA (483 nucleotides) under uncultured bacterium. RNAcentral's name for it is "partial 16S ribosomal RNA". It matches the Rfam family "Bacterial small subunit ribosomal RNA", at positions 30 to 507 of the family's 1533-position model. The record is from RNAcentral.
AUUGAACGCUGGCGGCAGGCCUAACACAUGCAAGUCGAGCGGAUGAAGGGAGCUUGCUCCUGGAUUCAGCGGCGGACGGGUGAGUAAUGCCUAGGAAUCUGCCUGGUAGUGGGGGAUAACGUCCGGAAACGGGCGCUAAUACCGCAUACGUCCUGAGGGAGAAAGUGGGGGAUCUUCGGACCUCACGCUAUCAGAUGAGCCUAGGUCGGAUUAGCUAGUUGGUGGGGUAAAGGCCUACAAGGCGACGAUCCGUAACUGGUCUGAGAGGAUGAUCAGUCACACUGGAACUGAGACACGGUCCAGACUCCUACGGGAGGCAGCAGUGGGGAAUAUUGGACAAUGGGCGAAAGCCUGAUCCAGCCGUGCCGCGUGUGUGAAGAAGGUCUUCGGAUUGUAAAGCACUUUAAGUUGGGAGGAAGGGCAGUAAGUUAAUACCUUGCUGUUUUGACGUUACCAACAGAAUAAGCACCGGCUAACUUCGUG